UGCGUUUAUUCAUCUCUUUCAAGUGAGUCUCCAAAAGACCAAAAUGGUGUUUUGAUUCAUUUGACCCAGAAGGAAUGGACCAGGAAGAAGGGUUACAAUGUCCACAGAGAGAGGGAGCAAGAGGGCAGAGAGAACUGUGUGGGAGGAAGUAUUUCUCUACGUUUUCAAACCAUAGGCGCUGGCAUAUGCUAGGCCAGCACUUUCACGCUGAGCUGUAGCAACAGCCCAGUUUCCCCCACCUUAAUUCCUGGCUUUUUUUUUUUUAACAAAACCAUUCCACUAGAGUCUUGAGUUCUUCACUGAAUAAAUAAACACUUGAUCAUCUUUGCCUAAAUGUU
Long non-coding RNA from Mesocricetus auratus (golden hamster), 338 nucleotides. RefSeq lists it as uncharacterized. The record is from RefSeq and is a predicted model, not a curated record. The transcript has 2 exons. Lineage: Eukaryota; Metazoa; Chordata; Mammalia; Rodentia; Cricetidae.